RNAcentral lists this ribosomal RNA (921 nucleotides) under Patellaria apiculatae. RNAcentral describes it as "SSU rRNA". It matches the Rfam family "Eukaryotic small subunit ribosomal RNA", at positions 84 to 1008 of the family's 1831-position model. Lineage: Eukaryota; Fungi; Ascomycota; Dothideomycetes; Patellariales; Patellariaceae. The record is from RNAcentral.
AAACUGCGAAUGGCUCAUUAAAUCAGUUAUCGUUUAUUUGAUAGUACCUUACUACUUGGAUAACCGUGGUAAUUCUAGAGCUAAUACAUGCUAAAAACCCCAACUUACGAAGGGGUGUAUUUAUUAGAUAAAAAACCAAUGCCCUUCGGGGCCCCCUGGUGAUUCAUAAUAACUUAACGAAUCGCAUGGCCUUGCGCCGGCGAUGGUUCAUUCAAAUUUCUGCCCUAUCAACUUUCGAUGGUUGUGUAGUGGACAACCAUGGUAUCAACGGGUGACGGGGAAUUAGGGUUCUAUUCCGGAGAGGGAGCCUGAGAAACGGCUACCACAUCCAAGGAAGGCAGCAGGCGCGCAAAUUACCCAAUCCCAAUACGGGGAGGUAGUGACAAUAAAUACUGAUACAGGGCUCUUUUGGGUCUUGUAAUUGGAAUGAGUACAAUUUAAAUCCCUUAACGAGGAACAAUUGGAGGGCAAGUCUGGUGAACAGCCAGCAGCCGCGGUAAUUCCAGCUCCAAUAGCGUAUAUUAAAGUUGUUGCAGUUAAAAAGCUCGUAGUUGAACCUUGGGCCUGGCUGGCCGGUCCGCCUCACCGCGUGUACUGGUCCGGCCGGGCCUUUCCUUCUGGGGAGCCGCAUGCCCUUCACUGGGCGUGUCGGGGAACCAGGACUUUUACUUUGAAAAAAUUAGAGUGUUCAAAGCAGGCCUUUGCUCGGAUACAUUAGCAUGGAAUAAUAGAAUAGGACGUGUGGUUCUAUUUUGUUGGUUUCUAGAACCGCCGUAAUGAUUAAUAGGGAUAGUCGGGGGCAUCAGUAUUCAAUUGUCAGAGGUGAAAUUCUUGGAUUUAUUGAAGACUAACUACUGCGAAAGCAUUUGCCAAGGAUGUUUUCAUUAAUCAGUGAACGAAAGUUAGGGGAUCGAAGACGAU